Molecule: ribosomal RNA, 253 nt
Filed under: uncultured bacterium
Lineage: Bacteria
Description: partial 16S ribosomal RNA
Rfam family: Bacterial small subunit ribosomal RNA
Source: RNAcentral
UACGAAGGACCCGAGCGUUAUCCGGAUUUAUUGGGCUUAAAGGGUGCGUAGGCGGCUUUACAAGUCAGUGGUGAAAUCUCCCAGCUUAACUGGGAAACUGCCAUUGAAACUGUUUAUCUUGAGUACAUUUGAGGCGGGCGGAAUGUGUCAUGUAGAGGUGAAAUUCUUAGAUAUGACACAGAACACCAAUUGCGAAGGCAGCGCGCUAAACUGUAACUGACGCUGAGGCACGAAAGCGUGGGGAUCAAACAGG